RNAcentral lists this ribosomal RNA (450 nucleotides) under uncultured bacterium. Its description in RNAcentral is "bacterial SSU rRNA". It matches the Rfam family "Bacterial small subunit ribosomal RNA", at positions 354 to 796 of the family's 1533-position model. The record is from RNAcentral.
GUGGGGAAUUUUGGACAAUGGGCGCAAGCCUGAUCCAGCAAUGCCGCGUGCAGGAAGAAGGCCUUCGGGUUGUAAACUGCUUUUGUACGGAACGAAACGGUCCGGGUUAAUACCCUGGGCUAAUGACGGUACCGUAAGAAUAAGCACCGGCUAACUACGUGCCAGCAGCCGCGGUAAUACGUAGGGUGCAAGCGUUAAUCGGAAUUACUGGGCGUAAAGCGUGCGCAGGCGGUUUUGUAAGACAGGCGUGAAAUCCCCGGGCUCAACCUGGGAAUUGCGCUUGGGACUGCAAGGCUGGAGUGCGGCAGAGGGGGAUGGAAUUCCGCGUGUAGCAGUGAAAUGCGUAGAUAUGCGGAGGAACACCGAUGGCGAAGGCAAUCCCCUGGGCCUGCACUGACGCUCAUGCACGAAAGCGUGGGGAGCAAACAGGAUUAGAUACCCGAGUAGUCC